This 76-nucleotide transfer RNA is filed under the name Thermales bacterium. RNAcentral's name for it is "tRNA-Lys". It matches the Rfam family "tRNA". From Rfam's summary of the family: Transfer RNA (tRNA) molecules are approximately 80 nucleotides in length. Their secondary structure includes four short double-helical elements and three loops (D, anti-codon, and T loops). Lineage: Bacteria; Thermotogati; Deinococcota; Deinococci; Thermales. The record is from RNAcentral.
GGAUUCGUAGCUCAGUUGGUAGAGCAUCGGACUCUUAAUCCGCUGGUCGUGGGUUCAAACCCCACCGGAUCCACCA